RNAcentral lists this long non-coding RNA (245 nucleotides) under Manihot esculenta (cassava). RNAcentral's name for it is "long non-coding RNA (MESC_LNC007864)". Lineage: Eukaryota; Viridiplantae; Streptophyta; Magnoliopsida; Malpighiales; Euphorbiaceae. The record is from RNAcentral.
UAAUAGGCUGGGGUUCCGCAUCAAUUGGUAUCAGAGCUAGGCUUAGUAAUAAUUUCUUAACUAUCCUUUGCGUCUUUGCAUUCAAUUUUGUCCAUUAUUGGCUGAAUAUAUCACUUUGGAAAUCUGGUUUGGGAUACCUAUUAAAGCUGAAUACAUUGUUUGGUUGUUGUUCAAAUCAAAUUUUACCCUAAAUUCUUGUUUAGGCUGAAUUACUAUCUUUAGUGAUUUGGUUUAUGCUUUCUGCC